GUUUCCCCGGGGGCUGAAGCGCUCUAGCCAGCGCCUCACCUGCGCGCCCAGGUGCGAGGGCGCAGGCGGCGCCGUGCGGGGCUGCGCGGGCCGGGGCUGAGGGUCCCGGUGCGGGUCAUCAUCCGCUUCACCCGCGCCCACCAGCCCGGCACUCGCGAUGAGCCGCGGCGCUGCCCAGGCUGCCCUCACGCUGUGCCCCGGCAUCGGCGGCUGGCUCUGCAAGGAACCUACCGGCGCCCACGGUGCCAGCAGCGCUGGCUGCAGAGAGAAGUCUCCCCUCCUGCCCUAUGCCCCUUCAAAACAUGAAGUCGCAUAUUGUUUAUUUCCUGUAUCUUCGUUUGCUUCGUUGCAAAUGUCUUAAGUGGAUUGGGGAGGCAACCUGGACAGUCUGGGCCUGUCUUUUUUCUUUUUCUUUUUUUUUUUUUUAGUUAUUUUUUAACUUGCGUGUAGUGGAAUUACAGUAGCCACGGAUGCGGCUCUUAACUGGUUUAAAUCAUGAUAAUGCAUUUGGUGAUCAAUGACCAAAGAGGUGCCCACUGUGCAAGGGUUUUAUUCUUUAGCUCUCCCUGCUCGAUGUACCUUGCUCCUCCUCCCCCCAAACCAAAAUUUAAAAAAAAAAAAAAAGAAAAAAAAAAGAAAAGGGAAACAAUUUCUCUCAGGUCUAAAUUCUUGGGUCCAUGUGCUAAAGAUAAAAUGAAUUUCAAUUGCUAGUGGAAAAAAUCAGCAAUUGUAUGACUUUUGCAAGAGCUAGUUUCUUAAACGGAAAUUGAGUCCUAUUUUGUGGGAAAUUAGUUUUGCAGACUUUCUUUAAAAAAAAAAUCCAAAACUUUUGUUCAGCAGCUGCUCCGCUUUUCACUGCAGUUUCAGAUUCAACUGGAACCUGCAGCAGUCUUUCGACGUCUGUUCCAGCAGCUUCCAGCUGCAGUCGUGGACUCCAAAGACUGGCUUCCUGAUCUUCAGCUACCUGGCUCCACAGAGCUGUCCAGGGACCAGGCAUUCAAAUGCAAUUAUAUUGCUCUCCAAAAGAAAGCUGGAGAGCAAGAGACAGUGUUGGCAUGCUACAGAAAAGCAGGAAGACAAAGAAUCAACUGACAGCCUAUAUAGCAUGAGGCUGGAGUCUUUGGCUAAAAUGUGGAAUUAUACUGCAUCUUGGAAAAAAAAUAUGGUCAAAAAGAGCAGACAUGGAAUGAAGGUAUCCUUGAGGCCUUGGCAUACAAACUUUUCACCAUUUCUCAACAUCUGGAGUUUGCACAUUGGUAAACUUUAACCAUAAAUUGUAUUUUAAUAUUAUUGUCAUAACCUUAAGACAUGAAUUUAUUUUUAUAAAACAUAGAAG
This 1336-nucleotide long non-coding RNA is filed under the name Parus major (Great Tit). RNAcentral describes it as "lncRNA (ENSPMJG00000010941.1)". Lineage: Eukaryota; Metazoa; Chordata; Aves; Passeriformes; Paridae. The record is from RNAcentral.